AGAUCACUAACUUGGGUUUUAGAUCAGAAGAUACUGCUGUUGCUUCAGUUGUAUGAGAAGAAUAAUCAAAGUCUUAUAAACUCUAGGAUCCUCCUGUGGGGUCCAGCUGCUGUGGAGCAUCACAAGACUUGCAAGAGUCUGGGGAAGUCCUUGUGGCAGCAGCCAAGCAUGGAGGAGAUUCUGCGUCUGCUGGAUCGAGAGAAGAUGAUGAAGACGGUUCUGUCGUUCCCUCAGCAUCGUCGGCUGCUGCCAUCACAGGGGAUACAAGAGUCACUAUAUAAAGAUGAAACAGUGAAGAGCCUAGAUGACUUCUACGAUCCUUGUUUUCUGCUUCAGCUCUUCAGUGAACUGACCAGACCAGGUAAAGUGUGUGUUUCUCUUUGGUAUGUAGU
Long non-coding RNA from Pyrgilauda ruficollis (rufous-necked snowfinch), 392 nucleotides. RefSeq lists it as uncharacterized. The record is from RefSeq and is a predicted model, not a curated record. The transcript has 3 exons. Lineage: Eukaryota; Metazoa; Chordata; Aves; Passeriformes; Passeridae.